UGGGUNCAAAGCUACCAGGAAGAGUGGGC
Molecule: non-coding RNA, 29 nt
Filed under: Mus musculus (house mouse)
Lineage: Eukaryota; Metazoa; Chordata; Mammalia; Rodentia; Muridae
Source: RNAcentral